Molecule: long non-coding RNA, 3296 nt
Organism: Mus musculus (house mouse)
Lineage: Eukaryota; Metazoa; Chordata; Mammalia; Rodentia; Muridae
Product: predicted gene, 39129
Exons: 3
Source: RefSeq, a predicted model, not a curated record
AGAAGAAUGUGGCCUUUGUCGAGUGUUUUCUCUCAGUGAAUGGAAAUGCAGGCUCCAUUCUGUGAGAAGGGGCGGGCUAUGAGCUCUUUCCUCUGCACUGAAUACUGGACAUCUGACUCUACCCUUCCCUCCCUGCACGGACCCUGUGCCCUGGCAACAAGAUACUCUGAGAUAAAAGGCUGGCUGGCUGGAGUUUAGUCUGGUGAUGCUGGAAGCUGCAGGUCAUCACCAAGGACUUCAAGAUCCUCCACUAAUCAAAGAGCAGCACUGCUAAAUGGAUCCAGUCCUGAUCCACAUCCCACUGCCUUCCAGAAGGGGAGGAAAAAUGAGACCGUACUGCCAGCCACCUGUUCCCCCAGAGCCCAGCACGUGCUUCCAGAUCUGCUUUCCAGCAGAAGGCACGGGUCACUCACUGUCCCAGAGUUCAACAAUUAGUCAGACUGGCUGACCAGUAAGCCUGCUGAGGAAGGAUGGUCCUGUCUCUCCGCUGCCCCAAUCCUGCCAUCACAAGCGUGGGUCAGUACUUCCAGCUUUUAUGUGGGUGCUGAGGAUCUGAACUGCCUGCUGGCAUGGUAAGUAUUUCAACACUGAGCAUGUAUCUCCUUGGCCUUCUGAGGCAGACACCUUAACAUGUGUUCUGUUAAAUGCAUCUUUUUUUAAACAAGCUGUCCAUUGGUAACCUCUGUGAACCAUCCCCCGAUUGUCCAAUUGUUUGCUGUCUACUGGCUUAUGCUCCAUUUUCAUUCCUGAAGGGUUGGUGUGUUAGCCACUUUCACCGCGCUCAUUCCACCCCAACCUCCUGCUGUGAACAUUUCCCUCAAAACAUGAUACAUUGUUUCAGAGUGAUGUCCUAUUGUUUCUUCUCUUUUAAACAAUACUGUGGUAGAGCAUCUCACUGACCAUUUGCAAAGUAACUCAGCAUGUUCCCUUUUAUAACGAUCUCUGUGAUGAGAUUUCUGUCUGUGCUUAGCACUGUACUCCCCUCCUGCUCCCCUCCUACCACCCUCUCUAGUAGUAUUCCUCCCUUCUAAAUAAUUCACUCCUUCCUCUAGGUAGCCUCCUUUCGAGCUGUGUAUGUGCAUGUGUGUGGUGUGUGAAUGUGUGUGCACAUGUGUGAGUGCAUGUGUUUAAAUCCAGAAUCAAUGUUUGAGAGGCAGUGUCAUUCUAAGCCUGGCUUUUUUUUUUCCUUCUUAACAUGAUGAUAUCCUGCUCUAUCCAUUUCCUCCCCCAAAUGAUGUAACCCAGGUUUGCUCUCCCUGGCACUAGACCAGUCAUCCACCAUUAGAGGCAUCCAGGCUGUCCAUAGGUCAUGGUUAGUCUUGAUUGUCAACAAUGCUGGCUCUGGAAUCAACUUAACACAAGCUGACACUCCUAGAGGGAUUUUCUUCAUCGGGUUGUUUGAAGCAGGAAAACUCACACUAAAUGUGAUGGUAAGCUGGAUAAAAGGCGAUGGCGUUCGGGCUUUGGUUUUUGCCUGCUUGCUUUCAGUGUUGCUGGUGAGAUCACUUAUCCUGUUCAGUGACACUUACUUAUUUGGGGUGCUCAGUUUUCACAGUGGUCUAUUAAUUCCAAAUAGUAAUCCCCCUGACAGAUUUAUAAUUGGUAGAGAUUAUCUCCCAUGGUGUAACCUACCUCUUCAUGUGUCACAUCAUCUCUUUGUUACUCCAUCUGUCCUGCAGCUUGCCAGCCCCCAAUAACCUAUAGUAAUUGAUUUGUUGGACCUUCACGUGUAGACAAACAUGUCUUCCUUACUCUUUUCCCCCUUCCAAACCUAGUCCUUUAUUUCUCAUGAUUGAUCUUCCUGGUAAACGUCAGAUUGUCUUUUGUCAGUGACAUCACUCCUGGCCUUUCCCCAUGGGGAAUUUAAACUAAUUGCAAUGCUGUUUUCAUUGUGAACUCUGUGCAAUCUAGAACCACCUAGGAAGGAGAUUUGCACCAUCUAAACGUGGAGGAUGUGAACCAACCACAUGUCCAUCUGUUGCUCUGCUUUCAAUGGGUAUGAACGUGAUAUGAGUAGCCUUGACAGCAGUAACAGCCUAUAACUAGAGCCAAACAAGUCCUUCCUUCCUUCGGCUGUUUAUGUUAUGAUAUUUUAUCAGAGCAAUACGAAGACACAGUUACUAUACCAACCAGAAAGUUUAAACUAAUUUUGAAAGGAAAGUAUUUUUUUUUCUAAGAUUCCAUUUUUCUUAGUUCAGCUCCCAUUUAUUUGUCUUCUGAAUGGCUAUGGAGAACACUGGUGAUGCCAUGAUGAUACAAGUCAUAACAACAGAAGUGAUGUUGUCCAAUGUAUUCAUGGAUACCAGGCAUUAACCAGUCAGACAUAGGCACUGCAAACAGACAUACCCCUUCCUUUAUCCACCGUUUAACUGAAUUGAGUUAUAGAUAUUGUAUAUGUUUACCCUAUGGUGUGCUUAAAACAACUUUCCUUAAAGUGAUAUUAAUCUCUAAAUAACCUCCUAGCUUUAUAGUUGCUUCUGAGCUCAUCUGAACACCAAUGUCAACUGUUAUAUGACGACACUAGGGACCCGAUCAGGAACCUGCACAGACUCUUUCAAAGCCAAAGGUGAAUGGCAUAUCUCAAGGAGUCAUGUGGUCUUUCUUGGUAUAAUCUGCCGUUCUGUUCAGUCUUUGAGAUUCUUUUGACUAAACAGCAACGAUUCUCAAAAUGUCCAAGCCACGGUAUGCAAUCUGAGGUUUACAUGAGCCAAGACUUCCUGCCUUCACUCAUAAACAUGACCUCCAAGUAAGUCCUAUUCGCUUGUCACCUUGGUUUAACUCCUUCUGUGACCUCCAAUCCAAAGGCUUGUGUGGAGUUUUACAACUGAAAACAAGUUAGUUUUGUUAACAAAAGUACCCCUGUUCUGAAAUGGGUUUUACUGACAUCAAAUUCCAUGCGGAAUGAGUUCUGACGCUAAACUGCUUCCCCUUUCAGGACCAACGAAUGAAGGUGAUCAUUUUGGGUCAUGCUUCAUGGAGGUUUACAACUCAAGACAUGACGAUGCCACCACACCCCAAGUUCUUCUAGUUCUUCUGUCCCUCCCGGAAUCUGUUCUCUCUGCACACUUGGCAUGUGGUAGAAAGGUUGGAGACACUGGGGCUGAGCUGAGGGGCCCUGUACACUUAUGCCACCUAUAGCUGAUCCACGGGUGACUGUGGUGACCUGCAUGCUACCAAAUUCUAGUGUUCACAAAUGAGUCCAAAGUUUAGCUGAAAUUUCCAACUAAUUGAUCCCAGGGCCAUUUUGUAGGAUUCUAUGAGGCUCAUGGUAACUCUCUCUUUAAGAUAUUCCUCAU